CUUAGUACCAAGGACGCCGCUGCAGAGCCAACCCAACUGCGAGUGCGUCACCAGGAAACUGUUUGCCGCGUCCGCCUGCUGCCUCAAGGUGGAGCCCGUAACCUGACUCAGGAAUGUGUCGUCCCGCCAGGAGCCACACCCUGACGGCCGACUGCCUCCGGAUUAGUCUUGGCCACAUUCCCUACCACGCUAAAUCCCCUGCAGUAUUAAUAGCAACACGACCUCACGAGUUCUUAUUUGGUCCAUCUGAUAUGGAAGUUAUCAUAAAUACCUGAGUAGUCGUAAUGACUUUUUUCUAUCAGAAUUUUAAUCAGGUAAUUCAUCCUGAGGUGAUAUAUAUGGAAGUUUGGCCUCAUAAGCACCAUUAUCUUGUCGGAAAUCGUCACAAAUAUGAUUAUAGCUUUGAUGUUUUAUUUCAGCAAAUCGAAAUAGGAAAAAAUGGCCACAGAAACAGAUACAUAAAAAGAAAUCAGAUUAUUCUUAUGUGAUGAUAUCACGUGUGGUGGUAACUUUACUAUUCGUGAUAUAUAUUGAGUGUUUCUAGAUUUCCACUACACAGUUGGAAGGCCUUCGCUAGGGACUAACUACAUUUCAUUUUGAAAAGGACCCCACGUUUGGAAAGAGCCGUUUACUGUGCUACGGGAAUAAACGUGUAUACAAUGUGCUCCUCUCUCUUUAUAUAUCGAACGUCUUGUAAUACGGAAAUGGAUCCUUAAUAUAAUCGUAAUAUUUUGAAUCCUUAUUUGUAAUAAUUUGUGUACAUUAGUGGUCAGUAAACUAGUUUAUCUUUA
Schistocerca americana (American grasshopper) is the source of this 791-nucleotide long non-coding RNA. RefSeq lists it as uncharacterized. The record is from RefSeq and is a predicted model, not a curated record. The transcript is spliced from 2 exons. NCBI's taxonomy places the organism in Eukaryota, Metazoa, Arthropoda, Insecta, Orthoptera, Acrididae.